Molecule: long non-coding RNA, 920 nt
Filed under: Marmota monax (woodchuck)
Lineage: Eukaryota; Metazoa; Chordata; Mammalia; Rodentia; Sciuridae
Source: RNAcentral
AGGGACACUCGGUCACUGAGUCACGUCCCAGCCCUAUUUUGUAUUUUAUUUAGAGACAGGGUCUUACCGGUUGCUUAGCACCUCGCUUUCUUACUGGAGUUCUUUUACAUGGGUCUUCCCACAUGGGACAACAUAGGUCAUUCGCCACUUUACAGAGGAGGAAACUGAGGUCCUGAGAAGGGAGGUUAUCACUUUCCCGUUGUCAUACACUCUAGGAGUGACCUUGAGGGAUUCAAAGGCACCUUUUUGUCCCAGGUUUUUUUGAGCCUAUCAUGCUUGGCCAGGGAAAUGAGGUUUGAGUAGGGAAGGGGGGAGUUGUUGAGAUACCUGUGAACAAUUAGGAGACCCAUGUACACACACACACACACACACACACACACAGAGAAAAUUCAUGCUGGGUGCAGUGAUGCAUACUUGUAAUCCCCACAACUUUGGAGGCUAAGGUAGGAGGAUCACAAGUUGGAAGCCAGCCUGGGCAACUUUGCAAGAUCCUGUCCAAAAAAAAAAGUGGGGAGCUGCGGAUGGAGCUCAGUGGUCAGUGGUAGAGUACCCCAGAUUCAAUCUCCAGUGCUGAAAAGAGAAAAGAUCAUGGCAGGGAGAUUUUUAUUAGCAAAAAUCUAGAAGCAAUCCAAAAAGUCAUUUACAGGAGAGUGGAUUCACGGGUGGUGACAGUCAACCAACCAAAUACCACAGAAUAGGGGAAGCGUCAAUAGGCUGCCACUCAAAUAAUUCGAGGAUGAGAAAAAAAUCUAGUGUGAUGCAGUUGACUUGUUUUCAAAAGGCAAAACAACACCGGGUACUACUUUAGGAUACAAGCCUGUAAUGGUGGUUUAGUCCCACAUAAGGUGACAAAUGCCAGGUUCUGAGAGGGGUUACUUCUCAGGGAAGAAAGGAGGACGGGGUUGGAGCACACAGAGGAC